GCCGGGGUGCCCGAGCGGACUAAGGGGGUAGGCUCGAGACCCAACACAGAAAACCCUCCGCAAAACAAGAGGGUUUUCCGGCUAACCAGAAACGAGAGACCUACUGCCCCGCGGAGGGGCGCGCGGGUUCGAAUCCCGCCCCCGGCG
RNAcentral lists this transfer RNA (147 nucleotides) under Staphylothermus marinus F1. It matches the Rfam family "tRNA". From Rfam's summary of the family: Transfer RNA (tRNA) molecules are approximately 80 nucleotides in length. Their secondary structure includes four short double-helical elements and three loops (D, anti-codon, and T loops). Lineage: Archaea; Thermoproteati; Thermoproteota; Thermoprotei; Desulfurococcales; Desulfurococcaceae. The record is from Rfam by way of RNAcentral.